RNAcentral lists this unclassified non-coding RNA (297 nucleotides) under Trechisporales sp. RNAcentral describes it as "partial contains 5.8S ribosomal RNA, internal transcribed spacer 2, and large subunit ribosomal RNA". Lineage: Eukaryota; Fungi; Basidiomycota; Agaricomycetes; Trechisporales. The record is from RNAcentral.
CGCACCUUGCGCCCUCUGGUAUUCCGGAGGGCAUGCCUGUUUGAGUGUCUUGAUAUCAUCAACCCCUCGGGUUCGCACCCGAUGCGGGUUGGAGUUGGGGGCUUGCUGCCGUGAGGCGGCUCCCCUUAAAAUCAUCGGUUUGGCCCGUAUCACGCGGCUGGCACCUUUGGCGUUGUAUCUCCCUCGCCUUUGAUCGGUCCUUCUCGCUUCCGCGCCUCACCCCGACUUGCCCUUUGGGUGGCGGUCACUUCUUGACAAUCUGGCCUCAAAUCAGGUAGGACUACCCGCUGAACUUAA